UGGGAGAUCGUCUAAUGGUAGGACGCACGGCUCUGAACCGUGUAAUCUAGGUCCGAAUCCUAGUCUCCCAG
RNAcentral lists this transfer RNA (71 nucleotides) under Candidatus Giovannonibacteria bacterium. RNAcentral describes it as "tRNA-Gln". It matches the Rfam family "tRNA". From Rfam's summary of the family: Transfer RNA (tRNA) molecules are approximately 80 nucleotides in length. Their secondary structure includes four short double-helical elements and three loops (D, anti-codon, and T loops). Lineage: Bacteria; Candidatus Giovannoniibacteriota. The record is from RNAcentral.